This 1619-nucleotide unclassified non-coding RNA is filed under the name uncultured fungus. RNAcentral's name for it is "sequence contains 18S rRNA gene, ITS1, 5.8S rRNA gene, ITS2, 28S rRNA gene". The stretch from base 637 to 1619 matches the Rfam family "Eukaryotic large subunit ribosomal RNA", at positions 1 to 961 of the family's 3401-position model. Lineage: Eukaryota; Fungi. The record is from RNAcentral.
GGAAGGAUCAUUAUCGUAUUCAAACCGUGUGAGGAGGUUCACGCAAUGGCUGUCGCUGGCUCUCACGGAGUUGUGCACGCCGGAGUGGGUCCUUCUGGCACGAAAAUCCAUCUCACCCUUUUGUGCACCACCGCGUGGGCUCCCUUAGGGGUGCUCGCGUUUUUCCACACAAACCCCUUUAUAAAAGUGUAGAAUGACCUCAUUUCUUGCGAUGACACGCAAUAAAUACAACUUUCAACAACGGAUCUCUUGGCUCUCGCAUCGAUGAAGAACGCAGCGAAAUGCGAUACGUAAUGUGAAUUGCAGAAUUCAGUGAAUCAUCGAAUCUUUGAACGCACCUUGCGCCCCUUGGCAUUCCGAGGGGCACACCCGUUUGAGUGUCGUGAAAAUCUCAACCUUUGUGGUCUUUUUUUCCACAAAGGCUUGGACCUUGGAGGCCUUUUGCUGAAGUCCCCACGGGAAGUCAGCUCCUCUCAAAUGAAUUAGCGAGGUCCUCUUUGCCAAUCCUCGAUGUGUGAUAAGAUGUUUCCACGUCUUGGGCUUCUGGCUCGGUUGGGACCUGCUUCUAAUCGUCUCGUUGAGACAAUGUCGAGGGAGAGUGCCUUUGGAUGCUCGCCCGCACGACGAAACCCCCCUUGACCUCAAAUCGGGUGAGACUACCCGCUGAACUUAAGCAUAUCAAUAAGCGGAGGAAAAGAAACUAACAAGGAUUCCCCUAGUAACUGCGAGUGAAGCGGGAAGAGCUCAAAUUUAAAAUCUGUCGGUCUUUGGCCGUCCGAGUUGUAAUUUAGAGAAGCGUCUUCCGCGCCGGACCGUGCACAAGUCUCCUGGAAUGGAGCGUCAUAGAGGGUGAGAAUCCCGUCUUUGGCACGGAUGCCCGGUGCUUCUGUGAUGCGCUCUCGAAGAGUCGAGUUGUUUGGGAAUGCAGCUCCAAAUGGGUGGUGAACUCCAUCUAAAGCUAAAUAUUGGCGAGAGACCGAUAGCGAACAAGUACCGUGAGGGAAAGAUGAAAAGCACUUUGGAAAGAGAGUGAAACAGUACGUGAAAUUGUUGAAAGGGAAACGCUUGAAGUCAGUCGCGUCGACCGAGACUCAGCCUCGCCUUGGCUUGGUGUACUUCUCGGCACGACGGGCCAGCAUCAAUUUUGCCCCUCGGAUAAUGGCAAGGGAAAGGUGGCACCUUUGCGGGUGUGUUAUAGUCUCCUGUCGCAUGCGAGAGGUGGGAUUGAGGAACUCAGCACGCGCCUCUGGUGUCGGGGCUUCUGCCCACGAAACGUGCUUAGGAUGUUGGCGUAAUGGCUUUAAACGACCCGUCUUGAAACACGGACCAAGGAGUCCAACAUGCCCGCGAGUGUUCGGGUGGAAAACCCGUGCGCGUAAUGAAAGUGAAAGUUGGGACCUCUGUCGUGGAGGGCACCGACGCCCGGACCAGACCUUCUGUGACGGAUCUGCGGUAGAGCGUGCAUGUUGGGACCCGAAAGAUGGUGAACUAUGCCUGAAUAGGGUGAAGCCAGAGGAAACUCUGGUGGAGGCUCGUAGCGAUUCUGACGUGCAAAUCGAUCGUCAAAUUUGGGUAUAGGGGCGAAAGACUAAUCGAACCAUCUAGUAGCUGGUUCCUGC